RNAcentral lists this ribosomal RNA (158 nucleotides) under Cortinarius altissimus. RNAcentral's name for it is "5.8S ribosomal RNA". It matches the Rfam family "5.8S ribosomal RNA". From Rfam's summary of the family: 5.8S ribosomal RNA (5.8S rRNA) is a component of the large subunit of the eukaryotic ribosome. It is transcribed by RNA polymerase I as part of the 45S precursor that also contains 18S and 28S rRNA. Lineage: Eukaryota; Fungi; Basidiomycota; Agaricomycetes; Agaricales; Cortinariaceae. The record is from RNAcentral.
CAACUUUCAGCAACGGAUCUCUUGGCUCUCGCAUCGAUGAAGAACGCAGCGAAAUGCGAUAAGUAAUGUGAAUUGCAGAAUUCAGUGAAUCAUCGAAUUUUUGAACGCACCUUGCACUCCUUGGUAUUCUGAGGAGUAUGCCUGUUUGAGUGUCAUUA